This 442-nucleotide ribosomal RNA is filed under the name uncultured bacterium. Its description in RNAcentral is "partial 16S ribosomal RNA". It matches the Rfam family "Bacterial small subunit ribosomal RNA", at positions 338 to 795 of the family's 1533-position model. The record is from RNAcentral.
CCUACGGGAGGCAGCAGUGGGGAAUAUUGGGCAAUGGGCGCAAGCCUGACCCAGCAACGCCGCGUGAAGGAAGAAGGCUUUCGGGUUGUAAACUUCUUUUAAGGGGGAAGAGCAGAAGACGGUACCCCUUGAAUAAGCCACGGCUAACUACGUGCCAGCAGCCGCGGUCAUACGUAGGUGGCAAGCGUUGUCCGGAUUUACGGGGUGGAAAGGGCGUGCAGCCGGGGAGACAAGUCAGAUGUGAAAUCCACGGGCUCAACCCGUGAACUGCAUUUGAAACGGUUUCCCUUGAGUGGCGGAGAGGUAAGCGGAAUGCCUUGGGGAGCGGGGAAAUGCGUAGAGAUAAGGAAGAACACCAGUGGCGAAGGCGGAUUACUGGACGAUAACUGACGGGGAGGCGCGAAAGCGUGGGGAGCAAACAGGAUUAGAUACCCUUGUAGUC